GACGAACGCUGGCGGCGUGCUUAACACAUGCAAGUCGAACGGAAAGGCCCUGCUUUUGUGGGGUGCUCGAGUGGCGAACGGGUGAGUAACACGUGUGUAACCUGCCCUUGUCUUUCGGAUAACUUCACGAAACUGGGGCUAAUAUCGGAUAGGAGCUCCUGCUGCAUGGUGGGGGUUGGAAAGUUUCGGCGGUUGGGGAUGGACUCGCGGCUUAUCCGCUUGUUGGUGGGGUAGUGGCUUACCAAGGCUUUGACGGGUAGCCGGCCUGGGAGGGUGACCGGCCUCAAUGGUACUGCGAUACGGCGCAGACGCCUACGGUAGGCAGUAGGCGGGAAUAUUGCACAACGGGCGGAAGCCUGAUGCAACAACGCUGCGUGCGUGAUGACGGCCUUCGGGUGAUAAACCGCUUUCGCCUGUGACGAAGCGUGAGUGACGGUAAUGGAUAAAGAAGCACCGGCUAACUACGUG
RNAcentral lists this ribosomal RNA (468 nucleotides) under uncultured bacterium. Its description in RNAcentral is "partial 16S ribosomal RNA". It matches the Rfam family "Bacterial small subunit ribosomal RNA", at positions 28 to 507 of the family's 1533-position model. The record is from RNAcentral.